This 499-nucleotide long non-coding RNA is filed under the name Monodelphis domestica (gray short-tailed opossum). RNAcentral's name for it is "lncRNA (ENSMODG00000039321.1)". The record is from RNAcentral. Lineage: Eukaryota; Metazoa; Chordata; Mammalia; Didelphimorphia; Didelphidae.
CAAAAUGAACUUGGUGUCAAAGGGAAGGAAGAAGACUUGUUUUGAAAUUCCUUUCCCAAGACUAUUAAUCUACUUGGGAACGGGCUGUGGCAGUGAUGGCAAGUCCAUGAAAAGCCUGAGUUUACUUCCUUUGGCUCUGGAGUCAUUGCAGAUGGUUGGGAAAAAGCACUGUGCUAAGUCCUAUACAAAUAUCUCAUAUUAUGCUCACGACAACUCUGUAGAACGUUGAAUGGUCAGAAUUUUUGUUGGGAGAUCACAUUUUUUUAAAUGGGAUGUUUACAAUGGCUCAUGUGACUACCGAUGAUCCUGUGGCCUCUGGCUGAGAGAAAAAGGAAAGAAUGAUGGAGAAUGACCUAUGUGAACAGUGCUGUCUGCAGAAUAAUUACUGCAAACAGAAGAAUGCAUUAUUUCCUAGCCCUGAGAAUUCAUUCAAUUUCAUAUAUGACAAUUUACCUGAAAGCCAAAUAAAAGUAAAAAAAAAAAAUAGGGGUAAAAAUAC